Molecule: ribosomal RNA, 403 nt
Filed under: uncultured bacterium
Lineage: Bacteria
Description: partial 16S ribosomal RNA
Rfam family: Bacterial small subunit ribosomal RNA
Source: RNAcentral
GACGAACGCUGGCGGCGUGCCUAAUACAUGCAAGUCGAACGCAGUGGGGACGGGUGAGUAACACGUGGGUAACCUCCCAUCAGAGGGGAUAACACUUGGAAACAGGUGCUAAACCGAUACUGAUGGAUGGACCCGCGGUGCAUUAGCUAGUUGGUGAGGUAACGGCUCACCAAGGCCACGCUGCAUAGCCGACCGUGUAGGGUGAUCGGCCAAGUCGGGACGGGGACACAGCCCAGACGCCUACGGGAGGCAGCAGUAGGGAGUCUUCGGGAAGGGACGAAAGUCUGACCGAGCAACGCCGCGGGAGGGAAGAAGGUUUUCGGAUCGUAAAACUCUGUUGUUAGAGAAGCGGUAUCUAACCAGAAAGCCACGGCUAACUACGUGCCAGCAGCCGCGGUAAUAC